GAGAGCGGGGGGUGGGUGGUGGUAAUGGAUGGAGGGAGCACUACGCGGGACGCUAUCGGGGCUGCAGCCUUCAGCUGCUGGCUCUCCCCCCGGCAGUCGGAAUGUUUACUCACAAAAUGGAAGGCGACGCAUCCGCCAGAGCUUUGAGAAGGAGGGCAAAGCGACUCCCCACACUGUGUGCGUUCAUUAACCCCUGGCCGAGCGGCGGCGCGAGACACCGGCAGCGGUGAGGAGUGAACCCGGGAGCUGUGAUCGCAGCGUGCGGGCGAUGUCUGGGGUCCUCGCUGGCGGCUGUUGGGCCGGUUUGUUAACAUUACGGAGUCGGGAUUGUAUCCGCGUGGCUCGAGUGGGUGAGGAGGUUCUGCAGGGAUAUCGUUCUCCUCGGCUUAGUUUGUUAGGGGUUCGUGCUCGUGCUUUUCGUGAGAAAGUGCUUUUUGCGUGUCUUAGUUCCUUGUCCCAUAGCUGUCAACCCCCUAUCAGUUGUCCUCACUUAUUACAGACCAAUUCACACCUUGUAGGUCACCCCGUGCCCUUAUAAAUCUCAGCGUUCAUCCUACAAAGUCCCAUCACAAGGGAGAAACACAACACACACGGGGUGAGCCCGGUGCGAAGGAAGUCCGACACGCGUUCACGCACCGUGCCUCGUUGGAGUUCGGGUCGUAGUGUUAAUGGGGCUAUGGUUGUGUGGUUGAGUGUUACAGUGCAAUUGGCUAUAGUUUGAAAGCAUUUCGAUGAAGUUUGUUGAACACGCGAGACAAUUGUUUGUCGGGAGAAAAUGUAAUUUUGAGAAAAAACGAGAAACAUACAUUUGAGACGUGACCCCUCUAAGAUUCGCUGACCACACCGUCGUUAAUUGUAACGUGCGAUGAUAAAAUAGUGGGUGAGAAAGAGAGCCACGGUGCUGCAGAAGAUACGCGAGCAAAACACAAACGGCAGGUAACAGCAAGUUCGCUAAACAACCGAAUGUGUCAAUUGAACGGACACAAUCGGAAAAGAGCAGCAGAAUAUGAACAUCAAAUGUGAGGACAUGAUCAAAGCGAUGAAAUGACGAGGCAAGCGACAACAGAGUGGAGUGCUUUUGGAAAUGUGAUCAUGAAAAGCAACAUGCCAACAGUGCCUGGAGAAGAACUGCGCGUCUCAUCGGUGCUCAUUACCUACCACGAUGUACGGACGGAUACAAACAGACUCUGAUCAAGAAUUUGAAAUAAGAAAUGAAACAUCUCCAAAGCACGCGAAGAAAGAAUGGGAGAGACAGCAAAGGGAGCAACGUGGAAGCGAGCACAGACACAAUUGGUGUUGACUGUCGACAGCAGUGAGGAGGCAACGGGCAGACAGCGGUGGGCGCGAGCUGCCGCCUCAAUAUUCGCGGUAUGCGGCCAGCAGGUGACCGUGCGCUCCGGCGCGCCUUCCCUUCCAACCUUUCGCAGAACCAAGGGGGUGCAAAGCUCCAGUAACGGUGAAGACCCUCUGAUCUCGAGGGAGUCCUGUAGAGCUCCCUAUCGCGAAGUCCUUCAGCCAGCAGUGGCGGUGAGCGAGCAGUUGCAGGGCUGCGCCUUCACCUACGCAGGCAGCUACCAGGGCGUUCGUGCGCUUUGUUUUGAUUUGUCAAUCAAAGCCGAAAACACGUUUUCAGUAAGGAAAGCUGAAGCUACGCUCCUGUAACCCUGUUCAGAUCGGUGCAGAAUACUGUAUGUAUAUAUUGUUUUUUUUUUUUAAAGAACAUGUAUGAACAAUAAGUUGCAGUCAAACAAAAUCAAGGCAUUGUUCGUUUCCUUUUGACAUAAACAUGCGCGAAAUGUCAUGGGCUCGCAUGUCAUCACCGAGACUCGCACCUUUUAGCGCCGAAAGCGACCUCUUCAUGCCAACGCCGCAACCACAAUUACGGCAAUUUUAAAGGAAGCAAAGCGGGUCGCGGGCCCAUUGUUCAAGGCGCACGAUUAAAAUAUUCCCGUCCAUUGCUACACGGACGAUGGCAGCUCGCGACGUGAACGCGCUUUGACGGCCAAGUCGCUCGCAGAUUUCGCCGUUGCCCAACGCAGUCGAAUUCGUGCAACGCACAUACACACACAGAGAGCUCCACGGCCCCAUCCAUCUCCCUGCUCCACGGGCAAAGCUUCCCUUCAUUUCGCGGGGUGCCUUUCUUCGCCAAGUCAACACGGUAAACCGAUCCGUCUGCUCGCUCCACCCCCGGGCACAUUGCUUCGGGAGGCCGGCAGUGGAACCUGACCUGCCAGCCCCCCACCCCCCUUCCAACCCCCACGUCCACCAUCCCCCACGAAGAACCCGAAGCUCACCCAUUUAGCAGAAUCAUUCCCCAAGUAGCGCCGACUAAGGGGUCAUCCAUCUAGU
This is a non-coding RNA of Petromyzon marinus (sea lamprey), 2349 nucleotides long. NCBI's taxonomy places the organism in Eukaryota, Metazoa, Chordata, Hyperoartia, Petromyzontiformes, Petromyzontidae. The record is from RefSeq and is a predicted model, not a curated record.